Molecule: ribosomal RNA, 253 nt
Filed under: uncultured bacterium
Lineage: Bacteria
Description: partial 16S ribosomal RNA
Rfam family: Bacterial small subunit ribosomal RNA
Source: RNAcentral
UACGGAGGGUGCGAGCGUUGUCCGGAAUCAUUGGGCGUAAAGGGCGCGUAGGUGGCCUGCUAAGCGUGCGGUGAAAGUCGGGGGCUCAACCCCCGAUCGGCCGUGCGAACUGGGAGGCUUGAGCACUGUAGAGGCAGGCGGAAUUCCGGGUGUAGCGGUGAAAUUCGUAGAUAUUCGCAAGAACACCAGUGGCGAAGGCGGCUCACUGGCCCGAUACUGACGCUGAGGCACGAAAGCGUGGGGAGCAAACAGG